Molecule: long non-coding RNA, 3187 nt
Organism: Neofelis nebulosa (Clouded leopard)
Lineage: Eukaryota; Metazoa; Chordata; Mammalia; Carnivora; Felidae
Exons: 3
Source: RefSeq, a predicted model, not a curated record
CUCUGUGAUCCUAGCAACACGGUCCUGGGUCCUCCCAGAGUGGCUCCCGGGAUGAUGGGAGAGGAUUCUGGGGGCGGGGGGCCCAGCACCCCCAGCAAGGAGGACGGCCUGCCUCCAGAUCGUUCUCUUCUUACAGGCCUGUCCUCGACGUCUCUUCCGUUUCUCUCUGCGGCUCCCACAGGCCCUCUGCUCGCCUGAACCCGUCCGCCCGGACGCCACGCGGGGCCGCCCAGGAGAAACCAGCGGCAGAAUCCUUAGAAACAAAGACGUAACCGCGGACCGGCGGCUCCGAAGGCGGGCGAGGUACACGCCACGCUGACCCAGCAUGCCUCGGGCGGCCCCAGGACUGGCUGGCUGCGGCCACGUGACUGGGCCGCUCGUGAUCACGUCACGGGGCCCGCGCACAAGCCCCGAUCUGCGGCUGCGCGGGGAGGGGCCCCAGAGGCGGGAAGGCCCGGGGGCUGCGGGCCGGUUGCGGGCCGGGCCGACCUGGUCGCGGGAAGAGCUUGCCGCUUGCGUGGUUUGGGGACCGAUGCCCAUCCGGCUCGCGAGGCCUCGUCGUGCGGCCCGGGCGGAGAAGGCCUGCGCCUGCCUUCCUUCCUUCCUGACAGGUUAGGAGUGGAUUUGGGGGCGCAGGGAGCCAGGCGUGCUGGAAAGAACCUAGAAGAAACCGGAGGAACCUUCUAGAAUGUGUGUCUGAAUGAGCUCUGGGAACACUGACCAUACGUUCACAGAUGCUCCCCCAGCGGAGGCCCAGGAUCCCAGGGAGAGGGCGAGAGCCCUGAGCUGCUGAAGAAAUCCUCUGGUUGAGACGAAGGAUCUGUUUUCCACGCACCCGACUUGCUCACUCACUGAGGGCAGAGUUGGCCGAGGGUCGGCACCUCCAGCUGCCGUCUUUGACCUCUGCCUGUCCCGGGAAGUAGGCAGAACGCAGCGAGUGGCCGUGGCGUUCAGCUCCUCUCGCUGAGUUUCUACGGAGAGGACCUCAGAACGAGGAGGAAAGGCAGGUACGUCAUUUGGAGAAAGGACACGGUCACACCGGAGACGCAGUGAGCCUACCCAGUUAGACAGGUAAGUGGGACAGUAGAGCGCACGCACAGCGAGUAAAAGUACCUCCCGGGCCUGGCCAGUAGGAAGGGCUGGACAAGGUGCUGGAGACAGAGCGGAAGUGGACACCACCUUCUGAGGAACGUGUCCUCCCUCAAGCCGGGUGAGCCGUGUAGACCAGAUGUGACCAUCACGUGUGGACCAGACGUGACCAUCACGUGUGGACCAGACGUGACUAUCACUAGCUGACUCUCCCCUUCACGCUUGGAUCUAGGAUAGCUGGCACCCACUUGAAAAGUACAAGGAAGCUACUAGAAAGAUUAGAACUCUUCGCACUUCCAUUUGGAACAUUUUUCAGGUAGCUAAGGGUGGUGAUGAUUUGUUUAUUUUGUCUUUAAAUUCCUGGUAGUUUAGAAAAAUUUGGGGAAACCUGGCAAACUAGUCACAAUCAAGUAGCGGGUGGACAAGCACGUGGUGACAGUGCAGCCGUAAGACCUGAAUUUUAAAAGUCGCCUCAUACUCAGCUGUGCGCACAGCCCCGUCCAGAGCCCUGGACAUCCAUUUAUGAGCCCUGAGGUGCCAGGGUUACUCGUUUCUUCCCUUCCGCUCACGUGACUUUUCUUCAGCGAAGUGUAUGGAACCGUAGUAAGGAAGCAUCGAGUGGAUUACAGAAGCCGGAAGCAUUAGAAAGGAGCUCCCUACAAUGGGCACCGUUCUGCAUAAACACACACAAGACCACUUCUGCACCCCAGAAGGAGGCCCCUCGUGGCUGGCGUGCUCUGGAACCCUGCUUCUGGAAGUUACCCCAUCACGGAUCUGUCUGCAGCAGCGUUUCUGUGCGCCCCGGCUGGGCAGCCCAGUGUUGGGUCAGACCCAGACGUGUGGCGCAGACAGUGUUUACGGCUCGAGGUGAGGUCUCUGGUGUGGCUGCGGCCACUUUGAGUCUGGGCCGUGACAGAUCUGAGAGCAGAAUUAAAAUCGCGGAUCCCUGGCCUGUCCGGAGGCCUGUCCUGGGCCUCCAGCCUGCCUGGGUGAGGGUGACGCCCUGGCCCACACAGUGGCCUCCGAGUCAAGAGGCGUGGCGGCCCCUUCGUGGUAGUUUCUGGCCCAGAUUUUCACCCGAAUUGAGCCAGUGCUCCUGUGUCUUCAUGAAAUGCACCUGUGUGGGGGGUGUGGCCGGCAGGCUCUCCCAGGGUGUUGCUCUGGUUGGUAGUGAACAGUCCUGGGGGCCUGUCCCCGCGUCGGUCUGUGGGUUGCCUCGCCUGGCCUGACGGAGGUGCGGGAGAGCCCCAGCAAAGCCAGGCCGUCCGCGCAGUGCUCUCGGGAUUUGUUGGACUCAGCCUGUCAGAUCUGGACAUUGACCAGGGGUUUUAACUCCUAAGAGGUAACAGACGGUCCCGAAAAGGGUCCUGUGAACAAGCCUUCUGUACUGAGGUCCUGGUGCCAGCGGAGGUAGAGGGGACCCGGUAGUGAUAUGGGCUGAGGGUGUGAUGGCUUGGGGGUCUGCUGCAGACAGAGUCCUCCAUCGGGGGCACUUAAGGGCACAACCCUGCAUCGGGGACACGUGAGGGCACAUCUGUCCAUCAUGGGCACCUGUGGGCCCGUCUCUCAGUUGGGAGCUGUGACUGGGGGUUCAGACGUGGGGUGACAUCUAUGUCCUUCUCUCCCAGGACCACACGUGUGGGAUCAUGCUCUGUGGUAAGUUUACUCAAAAUUUAGGGUUGCAUAGAUGGGAUUUCUCCUCCAUCUGAAAAUACCACGGGCAGAGCGAACACUAGAAACCUUUGUUAACCUAGUUUACUCGGAGAUACCACUUUGUUGUAAAUGUUCCCAGUUUUAAACAGGCGGUCCUCUUCUGUAUUUGGGAGAAGGUUUAAGUUCGUAUGCGAACCAACCCCUGAACAAGUGCACAGCCCUGCUUGCUAAAGCAUGCGACCCACGUGGUCACCCCCCCACGCCAUGGAGACCUCCGCCAACAGGUAGUCUGUUCCCCGGGACACCAGCGGUCUGCCUUCUAGGGGGCGCUUCGGGGCAGGUGGUCCCUCUUGUCACCCGGCCGCCUGCCUGAAGGUCCUUUUGUGGUUGGGUAGCUGUUGCUCACACGGCAGCCCUCAGAAAUUGGGUCCGCUUUCUUCCAGAU